UAGGGAAUCCUCGGCAAUGGACGGAAGUCUGACCGAGCAACGCCGCGUGAGUGAAGAAGGUUUUCGGAUCGUAAAGCUCUGUUGUUAGAGAAGAACGUUGGUAGGAGUGGAAAAUCUACCAAGUGACGGUAACUAACCAGAAAGGGACGGCUAACUACGUGCCAGCAGCCGCGGUAAUACGUAGGUCCCGAGCGUUGUCCGGAUUUAUUGGGCGUAAAGCGAGCGCAGGCGGUUCUUUAAGUCUGAAGUUAAAGGCAGUGGCUUAACCAUUGUACGCUUUGGAAACUGGAGGACUUGAGUGCAGAAGGGGAGAGUGGAAUUCCAUGUGUAGCGGUGAAAUGCGUAGAUAUAUGGAGGAACACCGGUGGCGAAAGCGGCUCUCUGGUCUGUAACUGACGCUGAGGCUCGAAAGCGUGGGGAGCAAACAGGAUUAGAUACCCUGGUAGUCCACGCCGUAAACGAUGAGUGCUAGGUGUUAGGCCCUUUCCGGGGCUUAGUGCCGCAGCUAACGCAUUAAGCACUCCGCCUGGGGAGUACGACCGCAAGGUUG
RNAcentral lists this ribosomal RNA (550 nucleotides) under uncultured bacterium. RNAcentral describes it as "bacterial SSU rRNA". It matches the Rfam family "Bacterial small subunit ribosomal RNA", at positions 355 to 896 of the family's 1533-position model. The record is from RNAcentral.